This 90-nucleotide transfer RNA is filed under the name Cubamyces sp. BRFM 1775. Its description in RNAcentral is "Leiotrametes sp. BRFM 1775 tRNA-Leu". It matches the Rfam family "tRNA". From Rfam's summary of the family: Transfer RNA (tRNA) molecules are approximately 80 nucleotides in length. Their secondary structure includes four short double-helical elements and three loops (D, anti-codon, and T loops). The record is from RNAcentral. Lineage: Eukaryota; Fungi; Basidiomycota; Agaricomycetes; Polyporales; Polyporaceae.
GGCGAGAUGGCCGAGCGGUCUAAGGCGCCAGACUAAGGUUCUUCCGGUAUCUGGUCCUCACGGGCGUGGGUUCGAAUCCCACUCUCGUCA